RNAcentral lists this ribosomal RNA (1508 nucleotides) under human gut metagenome. RNAcentral describes it as "bacterial LSU rRNA". It matches the Rfam family "Bacterial large subunit ribosomal RNA", at positions 665 to 2280 of the family's 2925-position model. The record is from RNAcentral.
GGCGUAGAGAAAUCGAGUGUUAACAGCGCGUUAAGUUACAUGAAUUAGACCCGAAACCGAGUGAUCUAGCCAUGAUCAGGUUGAAGGUUGGGUAACACCAACUGGAGGACCGAACCCACUCCCGUUGAAAAGGUAGGGGAUGAAUUGUGGCUAGGGGUGAAAGGCCAAUCAAACUCGGAAAUAGCUGGUUCUCCGCGAAAACUAUUUAGGUAGUGCGGUGAGCGGACACCUUGAGGGGUAGAGCACUGGAAGAGCUAAGGGGGAGCGAUCCUUACUAAACUUUACCAAACUCCGAAUACUCAAGAGUGAUACUCACCAGACAGACAUUAGGUGCUAAGGUCUAGUGUCGAGAGGGAAAGAGCCCAGACCGCCAAUUAAGGUCCCAAAAUUAUGGCUAAGUGGUAAAGGAAGUGAAACGUCCAAAACAGUCAGGAGGUUGGCUUAGAAGCAGCCAUCCUUUAAAGAAAGCGUAAUAGCUCACUGAUCUAAACAAGACGUCUUGCGCCGAAGAUGUAACGGGGCUAAAGCCAUAUACCGAAGUUGCGGAUUUACACGUUAAAGUGUAAGUGGUAGCGGAGCGUUCUGUAAGCCUGCGAAGGUGUACCGUAAGGUAUGCUGGAGGUAUCAGAAGUGAGAAUGCUGACAUGAGUAGCGAAAAGAAGAGUGAGAGACUCUUCCGCUGAAAGUCCAAGGUUUCCUGCGUAAAGCUAAUCUGCGCAGGGUUAGUCGGUCCCUAAGGCGAGGCAGAGAUGCGUAGUCGAUGGCAAUCAGGUUAAUAUUCCUGAACCGGUCCGGAAGUGACGGAUUGAGUAAAUUGUAAGUUCUUAUUGGAUUGAGCUUGCAGUGAAUCAGUCCCAGGAAAUAGCCCGGGCUAAGACCGUACCCGAAACCGACACAGGUGGACAGGUAGAGAAUACCAAAGCGCUUGAGAGAACUAUGUUGAAGGAACUAGGCAAAAUGACUUGCGUAACUUCGGGAUAAGCAAGCCCCAUUUUAAGGCAACUUAGGGUGGGGGGCACAUACUAGGGGGUAGCGACUGUUUACUAAAAACACAGGGCUCUGCUAAAUUGAAAGAUGAAGUAUAGGGUCUGACGCCUGCCCGGUGCUGGAAGGUUAAGGAGAGAUGUGCGAGCAUUGAACUGAAGCCCCAGUAAACGGCGGCCGUAACUAUAACGGUCCUAAGGUAGCGAAAUUCCUUGUCGGGUAAGUUCCGACCUGCACGAAUGGCGUAACGACUUCCCCGCUGUCUCCAACAUAGGCUCAGCGAAAUUGAACUCUGAGUUAAGAUGCUCAGUACCCGCGGUUAGACGGAAAGACCCCGUGAACCUUUACUAUAGCUUUGCAGUGGUAUUAGGUAACGAAUGUGUAGGAUAGGUGGGAGGCUAUGAAGCUAUGACGCUAGUUGUAGUGGAGCAGCUGUUGAAAUACCACCCUUUUGUUGUUUGAUAUCUAACCUGCUCCCGUCAUCCGGGAGAGGGACACUGCAUGGUGGGUAGUUUGACUGGGGC